This 658-nucleotide ribosomal RNA is filed under the name uncultured archaeon. Its description in RNAcentral is "bacterial SSU rRNA". It matches the Rfam family "Archaeal small subunit ribosomal RNA", at positions 82 to 725 of the family's 1478-position model. The record is from RNAcentral.
CAUACAGCUCAUUAACACGUGGCUAACCUGCCCUUAAGACGGAAAUACCCCCGGGAAACUGGGGCUAAUCCCCGAUAGGUGAAGAACUCUGGAAUGAGUCUUCGCCCAAAGGGCGUCAGAUCAUGCUUCUGGCGUUGCCUAAGGAUGGGGCCGCGACCGAUCAGGCUGUUGGUGAGGUAAUGGCCCACCAAACCUAUAACCGGUGCGGGCCGUGAGAGCGGGAGCCCGGAGAUGGGCACUGAGACAAGGGCCCAGGUCCUACGGGGCGCAGCAGUCGCGAAACCUUUGCAAUACACGCAAGUGUGACAGGGUCAUCCCGAGUGCCGACCGCUGAGGUUGGCUUUUACCCAGUCUAGAAAGCUGGGGGAAUAAGGAGAGGGCAAGUCUGGUGUCAGCCGCCGCGGUAAUACCAGCUCUCCGAGUGGUGUGGACGUUUAUUGGGCCUAAAGCAUCCGUAGCUGGCUGAACAAGUCCCCUGUUAAACCCACCGAUUUAAUCGUUGGUCUGCGGGGGAUACUGCUCGGCUAGGGGACGAGAGAGGCAGACGGUAUUCCCGGGGUAGGGGUGAAAUCCUAUAAUCCCGAGAAGACCACCAGUGGCGAAGGCUGUCUGCUAGAACGCGCCCGACGGUGAGGGAUGAAAGCUGGGGGAGCGAACC